GAUUAACGCUGGCGGCGUGCAUAACACAUGCAAGUCGAGCGAUGAAACUUAGUAGACUUCUUCGGAAAGACACUAAGCGGAUUAGUGGCGAACGGGUGAGUAACGCGUGAGUAACCUGCCUUACACAAGGGGAUAGCCUUUGGAAACGAAGAAUAAUACCCUAUAAAACCAUAAAAGCACAUGCUAGAAUGGUCAAAGUGAUAGCGGUGUAAGAUGGACUUGCGUCUGAUUAGCUAGUUGGUGAGAUAAAAGCUCACCAAGGCAACGAUCAGUAGCCGGCUUGAGAGAGUGUACGGCCACAUUGGGACUGAGACACGGCCCAGACUCCUACGGGAGGCAGCAGUGGGGAAUUUUGCACAAUGGGGGAAACCCUGAUGCAGCGACGCCGCGUGAUUUAGAAGGCCUUCGGGUUGUAAAAAUCUUUUGUAUAGGAAGAAAAUGACAGUACUAUACGAAUAAGGUCCGGCUAAUUACGUG
Molecule: ribosomal RNA, 477 nt
Filed under: uncultured bacterium
Lineage: Bacteria
Description: partial 16S ribosomal RNA
Rfam family: Bacterial small subunit ribosomal RNA
Source: RNAcentral